Felis catus (domestic cat) is the source of this 898-nucleotide long non-coding RNA. RefSeq lists it as uncharacterized. The record is from RefSeq and is a predicted model, not a curated record. NCBI's taxonomy places the organism in Eukaryota, Metazoa, Chordata, Mammalia, Carnivora, Felidae. The transcript has 4 exons.
UCUCCCCAUCCUUAAGCCAAUGAACGUACUGCUUGGACUCUGACUGGACUUCCCGCUCUUUGCACUCUGCCGGAUAAAUGCAGCCUGACUCAAACUCUGAAAGGACCGCUUGGAGCUUGGUGCGGCACGCCUUUGACAAUAGCCAUUGCUCUGCAGCUCUGCAAUCAACUGUAUUUCUGCAGACUUGAAUUUGUAGGUAAAGAAAAAUAACUCAAGAUUCCUGAAGGAACUGUUAGCAUCUCUUUCCUGGAACAAGUACUUAAACCAUGCAUCUCUGAUUCUGGAACCAGGGUUCCUUGAGGAUGGACGGGGGAGAAAGAUUCAGAACUGGGAUUUCUUUCAGAAAAAGCACUCCCUGGGUUGAUUCACUUCCAGCUGCAGCUCCACAGGGUGAAGCGGGUCCUGAGGAAGUGGUCAGAGGGCAGCAGAGAGCGCUUCCUUUCACACAAGGCCUCCAGAGCAGAAGCGAAGCCUCGUAACAUCUCCAUCCGAAAUCUCUCCUGCCCCACAGCCCCUCUCUCCAGCUUACAGACGCACAUUUUUGUGUUGUCCAUUUUUUCAGAUCCUCCUGUACCUGUGUAGAGUUUUCCUUCCAGGUGGGAGAUCCCUGUGUUCACAGUCAUGGGAGCUGGAAUACCUCUUAGCACUCAGCUCUCUGCUCGCCCACAUGUUCAUGUGUUCACUCGGCAUCCACCAUGUGCCCUUGGCACAGACCCUGCCCUUGGGCUUCACACAGUGUGACCAUGCAGCAUGACCUCCUCAUUGUCGGUCCAGCUGGAAAUCUAAGGAGAAAAACCUUCCCAAGCCACACUGAGCAUCUCUUGGCUGGUGGCAUAGCAUUUCCAAAAAUAAAAUCUCACAGAGCAAUUACAUAUUAAAAAUGUUAUAGUCACAGGUU